This is a long non-coding RNA of Talpa occidentalis (Iberian mole), 5616 nucleotides long. RefSeq lists it as uncharacterized. The record is from RefSeq and is a predicted model, not a curated record. Lineage: Eukaryota; Metazoa; Chordata; Mammalia; Eulipotyphla; Talpidae. The transcript has 6 exons.
UGUAAAAUAAAUGAAUAAAUCUUUAAAAAAAAAAUGUUUAAAAAAAAAAGACAGUCCAUUUAUAUAUAUAUAUAUGAAUUAUUAAUAGCCUUUCACAAGUUAUUUCCAAAAGCCCAUUCGAACUUUUUACAAUGUGAUGUGAACUCAGUAUCAAGGGAGUUGCAAGAAAUAGGACUUGGUGAUAGACUAGAAAGGCGAGGGAGUGGUGAGGGGGAAAUAGGAGUUCCAUUCCCCUGCAAUGUUGUAUAGUCUCACAAUGUUGUGAUAUUUUCUGUGUGUCUUUCCUAGUCUAAGUAGUCUUCCCUGGAUGUUUUUGCAUUCCUAAGCUACCACACUACUUCCAUUUAUUUACCAUUUGAAAGGGUGUGCUCCAUUUGCUCUAUUUCCCCAGUUUUUCAGUCUCUUCGUGCUCUCUUCUAUUAAUCCACCAGUUCUCUACUGAAAUCACUCAUUCAAGUGUCCUAAUUCAUCAGUUCAUCAAUGGCUUCUUUUUAUCCUUAACCAGUAUACUCUUUCUUGCAGUUAACAGUUACCACUUUCCCUUAAUUAAAAAGUGUCUUGUUUUUCAUGAACCCAAACCUCCUUGCUCUCUCUUAUUUUACUUCAUAAACUCUUCCACUAGUUCUUCUCCCAGUCUCUUCAAUUCAAGUUCCCUAGAGCAGCACUACUCAAAAUGUGGUCCUUUUGAAACCGGUGGCGAGGGCCACAAAAGAGCAACAGGCAGGAGGCCGGAUGGAAGGGUGGAACGGCCACCCACCCUCCCGGGCUCUGAGACCAGGGAACCAUCAAAUGCCUCAAAAACCAAAACCAAGAGCUAUAGCCUAACAAGGACAGUGCCCGAUAAGAGGACAAGUCACUGUCUGUGGGUUCUCACCUGCGCCCACAAUUGCAGGAGACCUUAGACUCCAGGAACAACAACCAUGGGGUUUAUUUUACAAACAGGGGAAACAAAGUGCUCACUGUAUCCACAGGUGGCGGCUGCCUCACCCAGGCAGCAUCAGUGAUGGUCACCACCGGUCACCAGGAUUGCUGGACAGCUCUAGCCAGUAGUGAUGGCCACUCCUGGUCCCGCAGAGGUGGUGUCAGAGACACCCAGCGUUAACAGCUCUUUGUGAGUUGUUGGGUUACAACAACAACAAACAGCUCUUUAAGACACCAGGCCCAGGGCCAUUGGUGCUCCUUCCAGGCAAUGUCAGAGACAGGACCCAGGCCCAGUCUGUGACAGAGUCCUUUGGCUUCUCUUCCCUCCUCAGAGGGUGGCUGCUGGAUGCUUCUUUUCUUCUUUCUUCAGAGGCUGGAACUGUCUCCUUUUCUCCAGAGGCUAGCGGUGGUGUUUCUGGGCUGGCUUCAUCUCCCCUCUUCUCCAGGGGAUGGCAUCAUCUCUCCCUGUGUGGUGGCUUCCUUGUCUCCUUCACCUCCCUCCGACCUCGGCUUGUAUCCUCUUUAAGGGUGCCCCACCCACCAGUCUGAUGGGACCAUUUUUCAAUCCUUAUCAGACCAUCUAGCAAUCAGCCCAUAGCACUUGAUUGGUCCAUUCCACACCCCAGGGCGUGUGCUUUACAUAAAAGGGCUCUGAGGAGCAACUGCCACAGCUGACCUGUGGUGAGAGGCUGGGUCUUGGCAACCAAAGUCUGAUUGGACCAUUUAGCACCAAUCAGCUCGUAGCUCGAACCUAAUUGGUCCAUUCCAUGAUCCAGGAAGUACACCGUUACAUAAGAGGUCUCUGAGGAGCAACUGCCACAACUGACAAAAAGGCAGUUACUGAGCUCUGAGGAGCAAUUGCCACAACCUACUUGUGAUGGAGCAACAGGUUGACAACACCACUGCUCUUGCCGGCUCCCAUCACUGAGGAAGCUGGGUUCCAGUAACACUUUGACCAGUGCCAGUCAGAAAAACUGUCUUUAGUCCAUAAGGAGAUAAGUAUGGAAAUUAACAAGAACAGAUUGGGUUGUGAGUUGAUACCUGCUGAGUUCCCAGAUGAGCAUAUGCCAUGAUUAUGAGGAAAGCUCGGUCUGAUUCAUAUUCUCCAGAGCUGUAAACAAACAGAGGCAUAUGUAAUCAAUCAAAUACAUGAAACUCAACUCCCAACCACUUGCUAUGUGGAAGAGAUGAAGGGUAAAGACUGGAGAGAAAAGGAGACCAAAAGAGAGGAUAGAUGGAAGACAAAAAAUUCUCAAAAGCCUCACAUGUCUUUUCCCAGGGCUUUCCCUCUACACAUUAUCAUCAGAGGUAACCACCUCCAGGGUUGUGUGCUCUUGCCUCACAAGUGGUUUCUUAUGAUUCAGAACCACUUCCUGAAGAAGGAAUUGGAGAGAGGUAGAGUAUAAGUUCCAUGACGUCAAGGCAUCUUUUCAUCUUGCUCACUACAAUAUCCCUAGUUUUCUAAAUUCCUGCUAUGAGUGAGACCAUCCGGUAUUUAUGGAGAGCUGUGUGGAGAUUCCUCAACCUGCUAAAGAUGGAGCUUCCAUAUGAUCCAGCAAUUCCACUCCUAGGUAUUUACCCAAAGGACACAGAAACAUGAAUUCAAAAGGGCACCUGCACACAUACGUUUACUGCAACACCAUUUACAGUAGCUAAUCUGUGGGAACAACCCAAAUGCCCAAAAAUAGAUGGCUGGAUCAAGAAGAUGUGGUAUAUAUACACAAUGGAAUACUACUCAGCAAUCAAAAAAGAUAAACUCAUGCAAUUUGUAGCAACAUGGAUGGAGCUGGAAGGGAUCAUGCUCAGCAAAAUAAGCCAGAAAGAAUAAGAUUUUCUUAGUUUUUAUCUAAUGUUCUUUGCCUAUUCCAAGAUCCAUGCAAGAUUCUACCUUAUGUUUAGUUGCCAUAUCUCCUAAGGUGUCUCUUGACUGUGAACGUUUCUCAGUCUUUCCUUAUUUUUGAUGACCUUGGCAUUUUUGAUCAGUUAGCUGUGUUGUAGAGUAUUCCUUAACUGGAAUUUGUCUGAUAAGGUAUGGGUUUGGAGGAAAAUCACAGACAUUCCAUCAAAGGUACUUGCUAUCAGCAUGCCUUAUCACUAAUAAUAUUGACCUUGAUCACCUGUCUGAGGUAGUUCUUUUCACUGUAAGUUUCCCCUGCCUACACCACUCUUUAUAUACUGUACUUAUUGGAAGUUACUAUGAGCAGCCUACAAUCAAAAGGUGGGAAGAUACACAUCACCUCCUUGUGGUGGAGUACCUACAUUACUUAGAAUUCUACACUAGAGAUUUGCCUAUUCUCAAUUUAUUCAUUUGUCCAAUCAUUUAUUUACAUCAGUGUAGACUUCUGGAUAUUUAUUUAGGUUAUAAUUCAAUACUAUGUUAUUCAUUUUUAUUCAAAUUGUUCCAGUUUUCACCGUUGGGAACUCUCAGUUGAUUCCUAUGACCUUUUAACUUCUUCAUCAUAAAUUUUCUUUUCUUUCUUUUUGAUGCACUUUCUUUCUAGAACUACAAGAUAUUCAUCAUGUAUAUUUUCUGUACUACAGAAUACAAGUAUUACAACAGAAUCAGCCUUUUCUUCAAGGAAACCCUUUAAAUGGAGUUCUUUUAAAUGAAGAAUGGUAUUAGAAACCAAGAACCAAAAUCCUGACCCUAGGUGUGCUUAUUGUUAUCAGAGGGCAAGGGUCAUCACUUCUAGGUCCUCUUAAGAAAAUAGACAAGAUCAGGAAAAUAUAUGUGUGUAUAUACACACAAAUAUUUCUACUUGUAAACAUGUGUCCCUAUUAAGCAAACAUGUGUUCAUGCUGAUGUGUCCAUCGCUAAUUCAGUACCACAUGAAUCAUUCUAUCUUUCAUGCCUUAUUAACCUGAAACCUUCCACUUCAACAGUGAGAAACCUGGCUCCCACAUCUGCCAUCUCUUUACUGAAUUGUUCAAUUCCUGUAUAUAUGUAUAGUGGUUUCAGAAUUGUUAACUUGUACUCCCUUGAGAAAUGACUUUUUCAACUAGAGUGCAGUGUGUGUAUACCAUUUUAUUUUGCCUUUAGUCUUACAAAUGAAUUCUUACUCAGAUCAGCACCUUUUACAUUCACCCCCUUCAAUGAGGUUGCUUCACACAAUUAUAAUAUAGUAAGAUUCUUUUGCCAAAUUCUGCACUCCAUUCUGGGAUCACCUAACCGCCUAAAUAAUUUUUUCAUUUGCAUAUAUUCAGGUUCCCUCUUUGUGCUAUAAAACUUUAUGGAUUUUAGUGCUAUAUAUCCCUCAUUAUAAUAUCAUACAAAAGAGUUUUACCACCCUAAAAAGUCCUCUGUGCUUCAUCUGUUCACCCCACCUCCUGACCCUCUGACAACCACUCAUCUGUUUACCACCUCGAUAGUUUUGCCUUUUUCAAAAUGUAAUUACAUAGACUGUUUUGCUUUACUUAACUUUUUAUUUUUAUUUUUUUAUACAAGAACCAGGGUAUAGGCCAGAUGUGAGGGAGGGUGAGAGGCAUCACCAGAGACACAGCAGGGAGCAGAUCAGGCAAACCGACCAAAACACACUGCUGAGAGGAGCAGCGGGCAAGACAGAAAUCUUCCACGCCAUCUGGGCAUCUCCACGGCUGGCCGGGAAUUGAACCGGCACCAGUCUCACAGUGCUGCACUCCAACUGCGCCUCAACCAGUCUCACAGUGCUGCACUCAACUGCCUGCGCCACCAGGGAGACCCUGCUUUACUUAACUUUAUUCACUUAAGAGUCUUCCAUGUCUAUGCACGACUUGAUAUCUCAUUUCUUGAUAGCAUUCCAUUAUAUGACUGUACUAGUAUUUGUUUAUGUAUUCUAUUACAUAUGUGGCUUUCAGUUAAGAAUUUUAUUAAUAAAUAACAAACUUAAAAUGAGUCAGUUACAGACUUUCAAAAUAGUUACUGUUAACACUAGGAUGUUGAGAAGUAGAACAGUUACAUUACUUGCUAUACAACAUGGUAUAGAGGUGAAGAACACAGGCUCUGAAUUCCGACUGCCUAGGCACUGCUACCUUCCAGAAUGUGUCAACUGGAUUAGAUUAACCUUCCUGGGCCUCAGAGUCCUUGUCUGUAAACAAAGAUGCUAAUUGUACUGAUAGAGAAUGAAACAGAACCUGACUCAAUAAACAUUACCUAUCAUAGUUUAUUAUAUUUUUUCUCUGUCAUAUAACAAACGCUUUAUACACCUUCCUUAAUUCUUUCCAACAAAAUUUCAAAGGGGCAUGAUUAUUCCUCUUUUGCAAUGGAUAGCCUGAAAUACAGAGACCACAAAUCAAUGGAAUCUACACUUGAAUCUGAUCUAUCAUAUUAUGAAGAUUCUCAUCUUUUAACCUUAGCACUGGAAUUCUUAAGAGCAUAACAAUAAGAAAAGUCCUCUUUCAGUCAAUCUGCCUGUUCUGUUCCCCACUCUGUCUCUGGUGAAUGCUUUCACCUCCCCCCCCCACCACCUCUGGUCUAUACCCCAGUUCUUGUAUGUAUAAAUAAACAAAUCUUUAAAAAAAAAAAAAAAGAAACUGUACUUGGAGCAUCUUCAUCACUUUAAAUUCACACAUUUUAUGAAAGACCAACUGCAAUGUAUGAAAGAGACACUGCUCAGGGUGAUGAAAAAUCUAGAAGCCCUUUUAAGUGAGGUGCUACUAAAGAACAAGGGAUAGUUAGUAUGGAAGCUAAAAUAGUUAUGUAGGAAAUACAGUAAAAUG